Molecule: ribosomal RNA, 253 nt
Filed under: uncultured bacterium
Lineage: Bacteria
Description: partial 16S ribosomal RNA
Rfam family: Bacterial small subunit ribosomal RNA
Source: RNAcentral
UACGGAGGGUGCAAGCGUUGUCCGGAUUCAUUGGGUUUAAAGGGUGCGUAGGCGGCCCUGUAAGUCAGCGGUGAAAUACCCACGCUCAACGUGGGAACUGCCGUUGAUACUGCGGGGCUUGAGUUCGUGCGAGGUCGCUGGAAUGCGUGGUGUAGCGGUGAAAUGCAUAGAUAUCACGCAGAACACCGAUUGCGAAGGCAGCUCACUAAGUCAUAACUGACGCUGAUGCACGAAAGCGUGGGGAGCAAACAGG